AGCGAACGCUGGCGGCAGGCCUAACACAUGCAAGUCGAGCGCCGUAGCAAUACGGAGCGGCAGACGGGAGAGUAACACGUGGGAACGUGCCCUUUGGUUCGGAACAACACAGGGAAACUUGUGCUAAUACCGGAUAAGCCCUUACGGGGAAAGAUUUAUCGCCAAAGGAUCGGCCCGCGUCUGAUUAGCUUGUUGGUGAGGUAACGGCUCACCAAGGCGACGAUCAGUAGCUGGUCUGAGAGGAUGAUCAGCCUCACUGGGACUGAGACACGGCCCAGACUCCUACGGGAGGCAGCAGUGGGGAAUAUUGGACAAUGGGCGCAAGCCUGAUCCAGCCAUGCCGCGUGGAUGAUGAAGGCCCUAGGGUUGUAAAGUCCUUUCGGCGGGGAAGAUAAUGACGGUACCCGCAGAAGAAGCCCCGGCUAACUUCGUGCCAGCCGCCGCCGUAAAAC
RNAcentral lists this ribosomal RNA (452 nucleotides) under uncultured bacterium. Its description in RNAcentral is "bacterial SSU rRNA". It matches the Rfam family "Bacterial small subunit ribosomal RNA", at positions 29 to 526 of the family's 1533-position model. The record is from RNAcentral.